Molecule: ribosomal RNA, 416 nt
Filed under: uncultured Inocybe
Lineage: Eukaryota; Fungi; Basidiomycota; Agaricomycetes; Agaricales; Cortinariaceae
Description: eukaryotic LSU rRNA
Rfam family: Eukaryotic large subunit ribosomal RNA
Source: RNAcentral
UUGACCUCAAAUCAGGUAGGACUACCCGCUGAACUUAAGCAUAUCAAUAAGCGGAGGAAAAGAAACUAACAAGGAUUCCCUUAGUAACUGCGAGUGAAGAGGGAAAAGCUCAAAUUUAAAAUCUGGCGGUCAUUUGGCUGUCCGAGUUGUAAUCUAGAGAAGUGUUGCCCGUGCUGGACCAUGUACAAGUCUCCUGGAAUGGAGCAUCAUAGAGGGUGAGAAUCCUGUCUUUGACAUGGACUCCCAGUGCUUUUGUGGUAUGCUCUCAAAGAGUCGAGUUGUUUGGGAAUGCAGCUCAAAAUGGGUGGUAAAUGCCAUCUAAAGCUAAAUAUUGGCGAGAGACCGAUAGUGAACAAGUACCGUGAGGGAAAGAUGAAAAGAACUUUGGAAAGAGAGUUAAACAGUACGUGAAAUUG